Papaver somniferum (opium poppy) is the source of this 3118-nucleotide long non-coding RNA. RefSeq lists it as uncharacterized. The transcript has 6 exons. Lineage: Eukaryota; Viridiplantae; Streptophyta; Magnoliopsida; Ranunculales; Papaveraceae. The record is from RefSeq and is a predicted model, not a curated record.
ACCCACAUUCUGCUCCCUAAUCCAAUGUCUGUGAGUAAUUCAAGCACAAAUUUUUCCGGAAACAUUUAUCUAUUGUCUGUUACGAACCAAAAUCCCCAUUUGAAGGCAUUUAUUAGCCCAUCAUAUCUCAUUGAUAUCAAUCUCUAUGGUUUCUGAAACGCUCAAUCACAUGUUCAGGUAUAUAAAUUGUAGUCUUCCAGUUUCACUGGCAAGUACAACAUCAAAGUUGGUUGGAAUGAAUCUCUUAGGUUUUUAAAAAAAAAUUUGUUCGCCCUAAUCUCUUUACUGUAUCACUACUCUGGCUUCUGCAUUCGUGCUUGCAGCAGGCGAUCAAGUUAUUUCAGGGUGAUAGCUACAGCUGCUAUCGGCGAAGUAAUUGGUUUUUUAUAAAGUUACUCAUUCGAUUUAGAAGAAUAAGAAUAAGAAGAUAAAUAGAGGGUUCCUACUAGGAUUGGAUGAGGAGGUGAAUCCGUUUGGGGUAAACCUUUUGCAGAUUAGGUCAACUAGGAAAUGCUUCACUCAGGCAGGGGGGUUGGCAGCAUAGCAAACAACAGCCUGCAAAUUAAUGGCUCCAAAUGUUUACAAAAUACAAGUCUGCAAAGCAUUCUGUUUUGAGGGGAGUAGUGGGUGGGUUGACUGCCCGUGGAGGAUGGAGAAGGUGUUGAUGACAAUGACCGAUCUUUGAUAAGUCUUUCCUACUUCAUUGUGUGAAUGGUAGAUUUUUUGACUCAUUAAAAUUAAGUUAUACACUGUUGAGAGUUAACACAUGAUUUCCUUGAAUGCAUUAUAACAAGCAUUUGCGGAAGAAUGUUCUCAGCGAACAAUUUUCCAUUUCAAUACAAGAUCCAGGAAAAUAUUUGUCUCAACUCUAUCACAUGAUUUUUCAUAUAAAUUUAAUGUUCAACUGUAAUUGUUUUUUUUUAAAUACCUAAACCAGAAAGUUCUUUUGUCUGAUAGAUUCACAAUUGUCUUUUACAGUCUUCACAAACUAAAUGCUUUCAUUUGUUAUUUUACAAUCUUGGCAGUGUGCUAUUUUAACUCAUGAUCAUCAUUACAUGAUCCAGGUAGAAGAGAAAUAGAGUCAUAACUCUUACCUAACUCUAUCGAGCGCUUCUUUGGACAUAAGAAACUACCAUUUUAAGGCAUACAUGGAUAAAUCACCACUGAUACGACACUUACAGUAUUUCGAGUGCAAAUAUUGUCGUGUGUUGGGAUGAUUUUACAACUACGGUAUUGUCUAUUAAUUAGUUUGUAUGUUUGGAUUGUACGCCUAUGUAGCUAUGAAAAGAAUUUUAUUAGCUUUUAUUGUCUUUAAUCAUAGGCUACAGUAUUAUAAUAUCGAUAGUAGGAAUAGCACUAAUGAAUGAUGGAUACAACAUAAAAAUAAAAUUAGAUAAAAUAAGCAGAAUACAAAAGUGAUGAAGAUUUAUAGCAUAAUUGUAUUUUAAAAUCGCUCUACACAAUCUUCAUCACUUUACCAACAAAGUGAUGAAGAUUUGUAAGUGCCGUAUCAGUGGUGAUUUAUCCAUGUAUGCCUUAAAAUGGUAGUUUCUUAUGUCCGAAGAAGCGCUCGAUAGAGUUAGGUAAGGUUAUGUCUCAAUUUCUCUUCUACCUGAAUCCUGUAAUGAUGAUCAUGAGUUAAAAUAGCACACUUCAAAAAUUGUAAAAUAACAAAUGAAAGCAUUUAGUUUGUGAAGACUGUAAAAGACAAUUGUGAAUCUAUCAGACAAAAGAACUUUCUGGUUUUACAACUACAGUAUUGUCUAUUAAUUAGUUUGUAUGUUUGGAUUGUACGCCUAUGUAGCUAUGAAAAGAAUUUUAUUAGCUUUUGUUGGCUUUAAUCAUAGGCUACAGGAUUAUAAUAUCGGUAGUAGGAAUAGCACUAAUGAACGAUGGAUACAUCCUGAACUUAAUGAGCAGAAUUUUGUGUAAUCAUCAAAUGGUAACUGAAAUCUCAUAUCAGUAUUUUAUUUUAGUCCUCAACUCCUUCGAAUUAUUCUUAAGCAUUCUUGAAUGCUCAAUAGUCAGGUAAAAUUGUAAAUUUUUUGAUCAUACAUGAUAUGAACUACCAGUUCAUGUAUAUGAAAACAAUUCAGAUAAACUACUUCUAUUGUGUGAGUGAUUCUUGAUUCCUCUACAGCUGUAGCGAAGCCUGGGAAAGCUUGAGAGGUAAUACUAAUGACAGUAAAGCUCAUUUUUUAUGACACAUCGCUUGCAUAUAAAGUUUAUGGUUGGUAUUUUUCUCUUUUUUCGGGUAUAAUUUGUUGUUCGUGAAAAUGGACUGUUGAUAUUAGAAGACCUAAUUGAAGGGAUCCUUUUUGUGCGGGUAGUGUUACAAUACACAUUAUGAUCAAUAUUAAGACUUUAGCUUUAAUUUUCUUCUUACCAUCAGUAAAUUGCUUCUUCAUUUCUAUCCCUUUUUUCCAAUUGGCUUAACGACAAUUCCAUGGCAGGAGUCAGUAAAGAUGCUAAAAUUUUAGGUCGUCGUAUGUUCUUUGGUAAUGGUGACUAUUUAUGAAAUAUUCGUAUUGGGUGUUUUGCAGGUAAUUAACAUUUUUUGUGGACCUAAAAGCUUUAGGAAGAGAGUCAGGAAAAGAUGGAGCCUAAGGUAUUUCCAAUAUGCGGGAGAAGUAUUAAGAUGAUAUAUGGAUACAUUCUUUCAGAAGUACGAAAGAAAUUACGUGUUUUUUUUUUUGAAAAAGGAUUCAAUUGUACUCUGGACGGUACUGAAAAUGGUCCUGUCAUUGUUCUCUCAAAAAAUUGUUGCUUGAUGUCACUGUUGUUGGAUGUGGACUGGAUUGUGCCGAAGGGACACAUCGAAGGGACACAAUGGCUGGAAACUUGGAAACGUGGAAAGAGCAUUAACCUUAGGGUGUCAAUUGUAAUUUACGCAUCAUUAGUAACUUUGGUUUAUUUUAUCAUAAUUUUGGUCUUGCAAUUUUUCCUGGAGACCUGAAGUGAGCCAAUAUCAUGAUAAUCCAUUUGUGUUACCAACUUAACAAAACUUUGGUAGGUUGCAAAUGGAAAAUGUGUUAUCUAGAAUUUGAGAAGAAUUCACGUUUAAGUCAUAUAUGUCGUUAUGUAAACUCUUUCUUUUAUUUAUUUAAAAUCUUUGUAA